This 462-nucleotide long non-coding RNA is filed under the name Mytilus galloprovincialis (Mediterranean mussel). Lineage: Eukaryota; Metazoa; Mollusca; Bivalvia; Mytilida; Mytilidae. The record is from RNAcentral.
AAAAAAGGUUUAAAAUUUCCCUCUUGGGGUACCAUUUUGGGGUAUUUCCCUUUGAGCGUAGUCCAGGCGGUACAAAAUUGACAUUUUAAGGAAAAAGACAGGGAAAAUGAACUCUAAUUAAUAACAUUUGAUAAAUCAUGGUAUAUAAAUUACCAAUUUGAAGACAUAACAAGUUUAAAUUCAUAAAAGUUUGACCAUUGUUACUACACGUUGUCAUGGUUGUGACGUGACGUUGUAAGUAGGCGGGGCUUAUACGUGAGUUGAGGUCAUUGACGUAUAAAGCUAACGUUCAUACAUAUAGCUUUAUUUGUAUAGUAAAAUAGCUGAUUGCAGUAUAAAGAACUUUAAAGUACUGAAGCACAAAAGGUUGCAUGGUUAUCGUUCAAUCUCAAAUUGGUAAUGAAAGAUGCUAUUUUUGAUAUUAAAUAUGGUAGAUGGUUAACCUUUUGUGUUAAAACAUUG